Molecule: ribosomal RNA, 561 nt
Filed under: Saccharomyces cerevisiae (brewer's yeast)
Lineage: Eukaryota; Fungi; Ascomycota; Saccharomycetes; Saccharomycetales; Saccharomycetaceae
Description: partial large subunit ribosomal RNA
Rfam family: Eukaryotic large subunit ribosomal RNA
Source: RNAcentral
AGUACGGCGAGUGAGCGGCAAAAGCUCAAAUUUGAAAUCUGGUACCUUCGGUGCCCGAGUUGUAAUUUGGAGAGGGCAACUUUGGGGCCGUUCCUUGUCUAUGUUCCUUGGAACAGGACGUCAUAGAGGGUGAGAAUCCCGUGUGGCGAGGAGUGCGGUUCUUUGUAAAGUGCCUUCGAAGAGUCGAGUUGUUUGGGAAUGCAGCUCUAAGUGGGUGGUAAAUUCCAUCUAAAGCUAAAUAUUGGCGAGAGACCGAUAGCGAACAAGUACAGUGAUGGAAAGAUGAAAAGAACUUUGAAAAGAGAGUGAAAAAGUACGUGAAAUUGUUGAAAGGGAAGGGCAUUUGAUCAGACAUGGUGUUUUGUGCCCUCUGCUCCUUGUGGGUAGGGGAAUCUCGCAUUUCACUGGGCCAGCAUCAGUUUUGGUGGCAGGAUAAAUCCAUAGGAAUGUAGCUUGCCUCGGUAAGUAUUAUAGCCUGUGGGAAUACUGCCAGCUGGGACUGAGGACUGCGACGUAAGUCAAGGAUGCUGGCAUAAUGGUUAUAUGCCGCCCGUCUUGAAA